Molecule: long non-coding RNA, 941 nt
Organism: Sphaerodactylus townsendi
Lineage: Eukaryota; Metazoa; Chordata; Lepidosauria; Squamata; Sphaerodactylidae
Exons: 3
Source: RefSeq, a predicted model, not a curated record
GUUGGGAUUUUAACCCUUUCGGCACCACAGGUUGCCUUGCCUAAUCCUUUCUCAUUUCGUUUUUUAACAGUGUGUCCACGGUGUAGAGCGGUGAAAUGGAAUAUUUGCCUCCCCUGUAUUCAAAAGCACAGUUUAUGCCUGAACUACAAAUGCAGAGGAAGAAACUGAAACCUUUUUUACAAGUGUCCAGGAAGAAAUUGAUCACACACCUAAACAAGAUGUGCUGAUGAUCACAGCAAAAUGGUUGAGGAUAAAUACGAUCAGAUGUAUCAAAUGGAUUUUUGUUCAACUCAUAUUUUUUACAAGCGGGCAUGAAACAUGUGAAAUCACUGCAUGCAGCAGCUCCUGUGGCAGAAGAAUGCGCAAAACCUACACAGCAUAAUAGCUGGUUUUAUUCAAGACGGCACCACAAGAGCACUUUGCUUUCCAGUGUCCUGCAGCUACAUCCUGUUCAGAGAAGUAUUGGGUUUACAUACUGUGCCCAAGCAUUUAUAUUUAUUCGAUUGGUCUUCAGCAAUGGAACUUGACCCAAAGUCAAACCACAACUUUAGCAUUAGUGGUUGUACCAGUCCACAACCGUGCUACUUUUCAAAGACAAGGACAAAUAUAGGGGACAACAGAGGAAACAGGAGAAGGGCAGGAAGAGAGACAGAAGGAGAAAGAGAAAGGAAAAAAGUGAGUGAGUGAAAGAGAAGAUGGACAUAUGUGGAAAAUAUUUUGAAUUAUGGGGGGUUACAGGUUAAUUUGAUAGUGUUAUUCCCUCUUAAUUGUAGUCUAAUGUCACUGUGGAAUGAAGGAAGAGAUCUAUUGUAAUCUUAUUGUUUUAUUGGUUUGUUUUAAUAGUAUCUACACCAGUUGACUGUUGUAAGCUGCCCUGAGCCGGUAUGGAAAGGGCAGUUUGUGAAUUAAAUUAAAUACACAAAUAAAUAAAUAAAUAAUGA